AGAGUUUGAUCCUGGCUCAGGAUGAACGCUAGCGGCGGGCUUAAUACAUGCAAGUCGAGGGGCAGCACAGGUAGCAAUACUGGGUGGCGACCGGCGGACGGGUGCGUAACACGUAUGCAACUUACCCUAUACUGGGAAAUAGCCCGGAGAAAUCCGGAUUAAUGUCCCAUAACAUCAGAGAAGGCAUCUUUUUUGGUUAAAAGCUCCGGCGGUAUAGGAUGGGCAUGCGCCCCAUUAGCUAGUUGGUGAGGUAAUGGCUCACCAAGGCGACGAUGGGUAGGGGGCCUGAGAGGGUGAUCCCCCACACUGGUACUGAGACACGGACCAGACUCCUACGGGAGGCAGCAGUAAGGAAUAUUGGUCAAUGGGCGCAAGCCUGAACCAGCCACGCCGCGUGCAGGAAGACGGCCCUCUGGGUUGUAAACUGCUUUUAUACGGGAAGAAAAACUCCCUCGUGAGGGAGCUUGACGGUACUGUACGAAUAAGGAUCGGCUAACUCCGUGCCAGCAGCCGCGGUAAUUC
This 522-nucleotide ribosomal RNA is filed under the name uncultured bacterium. RNAcentral's name for it is "bacterial SSU rRNA". It matches the Rfam family "Bacterial small subunit ribosomal RNA", at positions 8 to 526 of the family's 1533-position model. The record is from RNAcentral.